UAGGGAAUAUUGGGCAAUGGCCGCAAGGCUGACCCAGCCAUGCCGCGUGCAGGAAGAAGGCCCUCCGGGUCGUAAACUGCUUUUGCCGGGGAAGAACCGCCUGGAUGCGUCCGGGUUUGACGGUACCCGGUGAAUCAGCCACGGCUAACUACGUGCCAGCAGCCGCGGUAAUACGUAGGUGGCAAGCGUUGUCCGGAUUUAUUGGGUUUAAAGGGUGCGUAGGCGGGCUGUUAAGUCCGGGGUGAAAGACGGUGGCUCAACCAUCGCAGUGCCCUGGAGACUGGCAGCCUUGAGUGCGGACGAGGCCUGUGGAACGGAUGGUGUAGCGGUGAAAUGCUCAGAUACCAUCCAGAACACCGAUUGCGAAGGCAGCAGGCUAGGGCGCCACUGACGCUGAGGC
This 400-nucleotide ribosomal RNA is filed under the name uncultured bacterium. RNAcentral describes it as "bacterial SSU rRNA". It matches the Rfam family "Bacterial small subunit ribosomal RNA", at positions 355 to 752 of the family's 1533-position model. The record is from RNAcentral.